GGCCGCGGGAAUACGGAGGGAGCUAGCGUUGUUCGGAAUUACUGGGCGUAAAGCGCACGUAGGCGGCGAAGCAAGUCAGGGGUGAAAUCCCGGGGCUCAACCCCGGAACUGCCCUUGAAACUGCCUUGCUAGAAUCUUGGAGAGGCGAGUGGAAUUCCGAGUGUAGAGGUGAAAUUCGUAGAUAUUCGGAAGAACACCAGUGGCGAAGGCGACUCGCUGGACAAGUAUUGACGCUGAGGUGCGAAAGCGUGGGGAGCAAACA
This 262-nucleotide ribosomal RNA is filed under the name uncultured bacterium. RNAcentral's name for it is "partial 16S ribosomal RNA". It matches the Rfam family "Bacterial small subunit ribosomal RNA", at positions 513 to 774 of the family's 1533-position model. The record is from RNAcentral.